GUAAUGGUUAGCACUCUGGACUCU
Molecule: non-coding RNA, 24 nt
Filed under: Drosophila melanogaster (fruit fly)
Lineage: Eukaryota; Metazoa; Arthropoda; Insecta; Diptera; Drosophilidae
Also listed under: 4 other names
Source: RNAcentral